AGGUGGUUGUCAGUGUUUGAUAAAGGCAAAAACAGAUUUUAGUACUUCAGCAGAAAUGGAGAGAAUCACAUGUAUGUCUCUUCUGCUCACAGCUGUGGUCAGUUCUUCUGCA
This is a long non-coding RNA of Carassius auratus (goldfish), 112 nucleotides long. RefSeq lists it as uncharacterized. The transcript has 3 exons. The record is from RefSeq and is a predicted model, not a curated record. Lineage: Eukaryota; Metazoa; Chordata; Actinopteri; Cypriniformes; Cyprinidae.